CAACCCCAGAACAUUCCUGCGGGGGAAAGGUGUCCUAGGAUUACGUGGGGGGUGGCUCACGGGAAUUCCCCCUUACCUCGUUUUUUUGUAGGAAGGCUCAGGAAGGGGUUUGGAAGGGCUGCUUGUGCUCUUUCCGAGUCCAUUGCAUCCCACCUGGGGUGCUCUGCCAUGUGACCUUGGGUGAGCCACUCCCCUUCUCCCGCAGGGGCAGGUGGGGGGAACAGGGUUAGAAGGGCACAGGCCGUCUGUACUUCUUGUCUGCAGUUCCUAAAGUCUGCCCCCGACUGCUCCCACCUCAGAAAGACUCCUCUCCACUGCCAUUUCGGUGGCUGAAGGAGGAGGUGGCCCAGAGACAGUGAGGCCAGUGGGCCGGGCUGCGAUAGGACCCCCAGGACCUACAUCUGAAUGGUGGGGAGGACGGUGGAAGUGGAUGCACCUGGGGGACCGUCUCAGAGGGGCUGGCCCACUCCUACUGUGCCAGAUCUGGAGGUGUGCCCCUGUCUGAACUCCAUCCUGCCUGCUGCCCAGCAACUCCCUGGCUUCCUCCCUGUCACAUGGGACUCCCGCACCCGGUGCUGUCCAGGGACCCCCCACACUCCACACCCUCCGGACCUCGCAGGACAUUUCCAGGUCUGGCCACAAGGUGGAGCGUGGCAGCUGCAGGACAGUGCUGGGGGCCGGGCUGCAGAGGAGCCUGGACCUGCGCCCGGUGACCUCCCCGCUCUGUGAACGUGUGGGAGUUUGUGUCUGUGCAUCCAGAGAACCAGAGGGCUGUGGUUGACUUGCCGUGCUCCCCCCAACCCCCCACUGGGAUUGCCUGGGUCUCUGGGGGAUCACUGAGAAGCUGGAUAAAGAGGGCUGGCACUGUUGCCUCGGCUCACUAAUGCCUCAUGGUUUUACAGGUGAGGAGACUGAGGCCCAGAGAAGGAAGUCACGUGCUGAGGUCACUGACUAAUCAGUGGCUGAUCUGGUCGAACCCAGAUCUCUUGAGCUGUAAGGUCUCUGCUUUUCCUGUGGCAUGGAGAGGGGCUUCUCCCACCUAGGGAGGGGAGAUCCUGUUGUACUAGGGAGGCAGGGGAUUAAAGAUGGACUGAGAGGU
This 1099-nucleotide long non-coding RNA is filed under the name Macaca fascicularis (crab-eating macaque). Its description in RNAcentral is "lncRNA (ENSMFAG00000053909.1)". Lineage: Eukaryota; Metazoa; Chordata; Mammalia; Primates; Cercopithecidae. The record is from RNAcentral.